GGGUGAGUAACACGUAUGGAACCUGCCCGUAGCAGGGGGAUAAGCGGAAGAAAUUCCGUCUAAUACCGCGUAAUAACUCCGAGAGGCAUCUCAUGGAGUUUAAAGGGUAACACCGGCUACGGAUGGCCAUGCGGCGCAUUAGCUAGUUGGCGGGGUAACGGCCCACCAAGGCGACGAUGCGUAGGGGUUCUGAGAGGAAGGUCCCCCACACUGGUACUGAGACACGGACCAGACUCCUACGGGAGGCAGCAGUGAGGAAUAUUGGUCAAUGGGCGCGAGCCUGAACCAGCCAAGUCGCGUGAGGGAAGACGGUCCUAUGGAUUGUAAACCUCUUUUGUCGGGGAGCAAAAGACGCCACGCGUGGCGUUCCGAGAGUACCCGAAGAAAAAGCAUCGGCUAACUCCGUGCCAGCAGCCGCGGUAAUACGGAGGAUGCGAGCGUUAUCCGGAUUUAUUGGGUUUAAAGGGUGCGCAGGCGGAAGAUCAAGUCAGCGGUAAAAUUGAGAGGCUCAACCUCUUCGAGCCGUUGAAACUGGUUUUCUUGAGUGAGCGAGAAGUAUGCGGAAUGCGUGGUGUAGCGGUGAAAUGCAUAGAUAUCACGCAGAACUCCGAUUGCGAAGGCAGCAUACCGGCGCUCAACUGACGCUCAUGCACGAAAGUGUGGGUAUCGAACAGGAUUAGAUACCCUGGUAGUCCACACAGUAAACGAU
RNAcentral lists this ribosomal RNA (709 nucleotides) under uncultured bacterium. RNAcentral describes it as "bacterial SSU rRNA". It matches the Rfam family "Bacterial small subunit ribosomal RNA", at positions 104 to 810 of the family's 1533-position model. The record is from RNAcentral.